This 253-nucleotide ribosomal RNA is filed under the name uncultured bacterium. Its description in RNAcentral is "partial 16S ribosomal RNA". It matches the Rfam family "Bacterial small subunit ribosomal RNA", at positions 524 to 776 of the family's 1533-position model. The record is from RNAcentral.
GACGGAGGAUGCAAGCGUUAUCCGGAAUGAUUGGGCGUAAAGCGUCCGCAGGUGGCCGUUCAAGUCUGCUGUCAAAGCCCGGGGCUUAACUUCGGAAAGGCAGUGGAAACUGAACAGCUAGAGUAUGGUAGGGGCAGAGGGAAUUCCUGGUGUAGCGGUGAAAUGCGUAGAGAUCAGGAAGAACAUCGGUGGCGAAGGCGCUCUGCUGGACCAUAACUGACACUCAGGGACGAAAGCUAGGGGAGCGAAUGGG